AUGGGACGCAGAGGGCCCAGGGUCACCGGAGCGUCUUACUCCCUAAACCGAGGCAGCACCACGCGGAGCAGCCGCACAGCCCCCUCCGCGUCCAGCUGUGCUCAGUCCAGUGAAGCGCACUCUUCUGUUUGGGGUGGGGGCGGUAACUUGGUGCCCAAGUGCUGUUUUGGCAAAUCUGAAGGGUCGCUAGACGCGUGUCUGUGUGACACGGGGAACUGCCCGAGAGGCCAGGAGCCUGAGCCCCGGAGGGGCCCGGCUGCCACCGCUUCCCAGAUGCCUGGAUCCCAUGCAGGAAAGAAGCAGACAACAGCAGGCCUCCCUGCCCUUCCCCCACGGUGUGGGCACUCCUGGUCCUCUCCGGAUGCCAGCAGGGCCCAGGCCUUCCUGGGGAGGGCACCACGCAGGCCUGCCCUCCAUUUUCAUUACCCCUCAGGGAAGCGUUUAGCUGCAUCUGAGUGAAAUCCAGUAUCCCUGCCUGGGCAAUCNNNNNNNNAGAGGAGCCUGGCGGGCUACAGUCCAUGGGGUCGCAAGGAGUCAGACACAACUGAAGUGACAGACACACGUGUAAACCCCUAUUUGCAGCUAAAAGCCGUGUCUGGAGGUUGGGGCUCUGCCAGGGCCUUGCCAAGUGUCCCUGUCUGCUGGCCUGGAAGGAGGCACUCUGGGUGGGAACGCGUUUGCCCCAGGGGCCCCUGGCUGUCCUGGGGGAGUGGAAGUUUGGGAGGGGCUGUCACUGUCCCCCAGCAGUGCUUGGGGGAGGGUGUGCAGCAGCCCAGAUCGGAUGAGGAGCUGGCAGGACUGUGUUUCAUGAUCCACCCCAAGGCUGCAGAAUGUCGCCGUCACGUCCACCCAGCUGCUGCGGAAGCCGGCGGUUUCUCCCGGUGCACAGUCAUAAGGACAAACGCCAAGUAUGUCUUCUACUGGGGUGGCCUGGUGGCCCCUCUGGGCCCCGCCCUGCAUGGCUGACCCUCCAGAGAGUGACAGGUCACAAACCAGCCCUCUUCUGGGAACCACACUGAUGGUGCCGUCCAUACGACAUGAUUGGCAAUUAAGAACAUGGAUGUGUGUUUUAAGGAAAAAUAAAGUUUUUUCAAGAAAUCGAAAAUAGAAGAACUGAUUGCCCCCAUCAUUGCAUCUGCCCGUAGACCUCCCUUUAUUAUUUGGCUGAACGAAAACACACGUUUUAACUGCUAAGCUGCGCUGACUGUAGAGUCUUAAGGACUAGAUCACCAGGCAGCUGCCGCAGGAGAGGCGGGCACGGCGUCCGUGGGCGCUGACGGGGCCCCGGUCGUGGGCGCCUCCGGCCUCACUGGGGAAAGGCUUUGAGGAUGGCGUUCACCUCCUCGGCCACGGCCGUCAGGGCGAACUCGAACUGCUCCUGGAGGGACAGAGGAGGGAGACGUGAGUGGCGCCUUCUGCUGCAGCCGUGGUCUCCGUGUGCCACCCUGCGGAGAGAAGCUGUUUAGGGGGGACGGGAAGAGCUGCAGGCUGCUGCGGGAGGUGGGCAGGGCACGGGUUUGCGGGGGGAGGCCCAGAGCAGACGGCUGCACCGUGUUCAUCUCCGCUUCUGUUGCUGGAGAAACUGGGGUGGACGUGUGAGUGGGACAGUGGCUGCCGCAGGCUCUGUGCGCCCCCUCCCCCAGCUCCUUCUGACCCCAGCCCCAGCAUGGCCCCCGAGGGGUGGGGCUGGACGCAGCCUCCCGUCCCUCUGAGACUCACUAGAAACGGUCACAGUCACGACCCCUCGGGGUUCCCUGGCCUCAGAAUGGAAAGGGUGGUACUCGUGCUCUUUGAAAAUCCUCCCACCAUCCGGCUCAAUCCGACUCACUUCCGUUUGCCCAGAAACCUCGUCUCACCCUCCACGGUGCCAGCUUAGGCAUGCGUGUGCCCACGGACGCCAGUGCACCUGGGACGGGACACGCUUCUCGUGCAGGCGGAACCUGCAGGACUGCUGAGCAGAAACCAGGGGCGAGUCCCGGGUGUCGGAACCGUCUGCCCCUCCAGAAACGGGGGCUCGGCAGGCAGAGGACAGGCUCACCUGCCCGGCAGGCUUCCCGGGUCCACAACCUGCUCCCGAC
Molecule: long non-coding RNA, 2078 nt
Filed under: Capra hircus (goat)
Lineage: Eukaryota; Metazoa; Chordata; Mammalia; Artiodactyla; Bovidae
Description: lncRNA (ENSCHIG00010012633.1)
Source: RNAcentral